GGAGGGGAUCUUUUGUUACAAUGUGGCAGAGAAAGCCAGCAUAGGUAUUGAGUUUGUCUUCUCACUGCUUCCCAUGUCCUGAUUGGUUCUCACUGAAGAAGCCUGAAGGAUAGAGACUCCACAGAAACUCUGGAUGUGUGGGCAAUGGAAUUAGCAAGUCAAGGCUGCCUGUGCUGAAGUUCACCAAUAUGGUGUCGAGUCACUGAACUGACCCCCUGAGCUGUUCAGAUGUCUAUUUAAAGUUACAGACCGUGGAGCGGCGGCGGUGGCCGGGUUCCUUUGGGAAAUCUCAAAGAUAUUUUUGCUUGAAAAAGACAUCCUGAAAAAUGUGGCUUAUUUGUUUGUUUGUUUCUAAAUUAAGAGUUUGGUCUUGGGAAGGCAAAAAGUAAGAGCGCAGUCAGAGUAAUCUUGGUCAGUUGACUAAGCUCAGAUCAUGGGAGCCUGAGAACAACAGCCUGCAACUGGACCCACACCAAGGUCUCCUUUCAAUGGUUUCAUUUUUAAAAAGCUUCUACACAAUUAAUCACCACACUCACCAUGAGCAUACGCAUAAGGACCUUGAAAGAAGGUAGAAAAGAAUUGAAAGAAACACAAACAGUGGGAGACAAUGGAGAGGGAUGCUUCUGGGACCAAUCGUGUGGCAUUGAGAGAUUCAUUCCUGCAUGUAGUUAACUUGGGAUCCUUUGAUGGCCUGACGUCAGUAGAUUUUGCAUGUGCAUUGACAAAAUCCAGUGAUGAAAGAGGAAAAUAGCAACUCCCAGGGGGAAAAAGAAGGCACCGCUGGCAAGGAAGGAAUGGUAGUUGGAGAAAAGGCCCUCCGUGCAUUCAUGCCUUCAUUACUGCAUGCUAGGUUUCAUUCGCAAUCAACCCAGAAGAACUGCUCCACUGCGGUGGGUGAAGUCUCCCAAGAUGGGUUAUGGUGAACUGGAAAGAUGCAUGGAUUCUUCCAGCAAGAGCAGGGGCGAUGUAGACCUGAUUUGUCAGGAGCACCUAAGAUAUCUCUCGAGGGGCCCGAGACCGGGGCUUCUGUGGGGAGGUUAGUGCUAUAGUCAUUCCUAGGAAUCUGAGGAUUGGCUUCAGAAUCCUCAAGAAUACCCAAAUCCAUGGUUGCUUAAGUCUCUUAUAUAACAUGACAUGUCUUCACGUACAACUUAUAUCCUCCUGUGCGCUUUAAACUGUCUCAAGAUUACUUACAAUACUUAAUGCACGUGAAUACUAUGUAAAGAGUUUAUACUAUAUGGUUUAGAAAGUGGUGACUAAAGAUAAGGGCUGGGGUUAUAGCUCAAUGGUGCAGUGCUUGCCUACCGUAGCUUGUGCAAAAUCCUGGGUUCGAUCCCUAGCACAAAAGGAAGAAAGAUGAAAGAAGGAAGGAAGGAAGGAAGGAAGGAAGGAAGGAAGGAAGGAAGGAAGGAAGGAAGGAAGGGAAAAGAAGACAAAAACCUACAUGUGCAGUACAGACACAAUUUGUUUAAUGUUCUAGUCACAAUUGGUCGACUCUUUGAGUGGGGGUAACCAUAGAUACACAGGAUCAACUGUAUUCCAUCAGAGAUUCCCUUUCAAUUGGGCCCCUUGCUGUCAUGGCUGGGCCCAUAUAUUGACUACAUCUGAAAUGCAAUGCUCUAUUGCCUGACCAACACACCCCGGCAUGAGGAUAUAAACAUAUCUUCUCUGAGUCGGAUAAUAACUGUUGAACUUGGCCCCUUCAAGCCUCUGAGCAUUGAAAAAAAGUGAUAAUCCUUCCUCAACAUUUUGAUUAAAAAUAAAAGCAAUACUAAGU
This is a long non-coding RNA of Chinchilla lanigera (long-tailed chinchilla), 1777 nucleotides long. RefSeq lists it as uncharacterized. The transcript has 5 exons. Lineage: Eukaryota; Metazoa; Chordata; Mammalia; Rodentia; Chinchillidae. The record is from RefSeq and is a predicted model, not a curated record.